GAAAUGCGAUAAGUAAUGUGAAUUGCAGAAUUCAGUGAAUCAUCGAAUCUUUGAACGCACCUUGCGCUCCUUGGUAUUCCUUGGAGCAUGCCUGUUUGAGUAUCAUGAAAUCUUCAAAGUAAAUCUUUUGUUAACUCAAUUGGUUUCUACUUUGGUAUUGGAGGUCUUUGCAGCUUCACACCUGCUCCUCUUUGUUCAUUAGCUGGAUCUCAGUGUUAUGCUUGGUUCCACUCGGCGUGAUAAGUUAUCUAUCGCUGAGGACACUGUAAAAGUUGGCCAAGGUAAAUGCAGAUGAACCGCUUCUAAUAGUCCAUUGACUUGGACAAUACUUUUAUGAUCUGAUCUCAAAUCAGGUAGGACUACCCGCUGAACUUAAGC
RNAcentral lists this unclassified non-coding RNA (378 nucleotides) under plant metagenome. RNAcentral describes it as "partial contains 5.8S ribosomal RNA, internal transcribed spacer 2, and large subunit ribosomal RNA". The stretch from base 1 to 105 matches the Rfam family "5.8S ribosomal RNA", at positions 50 to 154 of the family's 154-position model. The record is from RNAcentral.